Molecule: ribosomal RNA, 211 nt
Filed under: uncultured bacterium
Lineage: Bacteria
Description: partial 16S ribosomal RNA
Rfam family: Bacterial small subunit ribosomal RNA
Source: RNAcentral
CUCGUAGGUGGCCAACUAAGUCAGACGUGAAAUCCCCAGGCUUAACCUGGGAACUGCGUCUGAUACUGGAUGGCUUGAAUUCGGGAGAGGGAUGCAGAAUUCCAGGUGUAGCGGUGAAAUGCGUAGAUAUCUGGAGGAAUACCGGUGGCGAAGGCGGCAUCCUGGACCGAGAUUGACACUGAUGAGCGAAAGCCCAAGGGGGAGCAAACGG